AGUGAACGCUGGCGGUAGGCCUAACACAUGCAAGUCGAACGGCAGCACAGUAAGAGCUUGCUCUUACGGGUGGCGAGUGGCGGACGGGUGAGGAAUACAUCGGAAUCUACUUUUUCGUGGGGGAUAACGUAGGGAAACUUACGCUAAUACCGCAUACGACCUACGGGUGAAAGCAGGGGAUCUUCGGACCUUGCGCGAUUGAAUGAGCCGAUGUCGGAUUAGCUAGUUGGCGGGGUAAAGGCCAACCAAGGCGACGAUCCGUAGCUGGUCUGAGAGGAUGAUCAGCCACACUGGAAGUGAGACACGGUCCAGACUCCUACGGGAGGCAGCAGUGGGGAAUAUUAGACAAUGGGCGCAAGCCUUAUCCAGCCAUACCGCGUGGGUGAAGAAGGCCUUCGGGUUGUAAAGCCCUUUUGUUGGGAAAGAAAAGCAGCAGGUUAAUACCGCGCUGUUCUGACGGUACCCAAAGAAUAAGCACCGGCUAACUUCGUG
Molecule: ribosomal RNA, 492 nt
Filed under: uncultured bacterium
Lineage: Bacteria
Description: partial 16S ribosomal RNA
Rfam family: Bacterial small subunit ribosomal RNA
Source: RNAcentral